AUGAACGCUGGCGGCGUGGAUAAGGCAUGCAAGUCAAACGGAAUAUAUUAAUUUAAUAUGUUCAGUGGCAGACGGGGUAGUAACACGUAGGAACUCACCCAAGAGACGGGGAUAACUCCGCGAAAGCGGAGCUAAUACCCGAUAGCCCCCGCCUACAUUUAGCAAUAGAUGUUGGCGGGGUAAAACACUUAGAUUGGCUCUUGGAGAGGCCUGCGGGCUAUCAGCUAGUUGGCGGGGUAAUGGCCCACCAAGGCGACGACUGCUAGGGGGAGUGAGAGCUUGGCCCCCACCAAUGGAACUGCGACACGGUCCAUACACCUACGGGUGGCAGCAGCCGAGAAUAUUCGACAAUGGGCGAAAGCCUGAUCGAGCGACGCCGCGUGCAGGACGAAGUCCUUCGGGACGUAAACUGCUUUUUUAGGGGAGGAACGAAAGUGACUGUACCCUAAGAAUAAGGGCUUGCUAACCUCGU
This 472-nucleotide ribosomal RNA is filed under the name uncultured bacterium. RNAcentral describes it as "bacterial SSU rRNA". It matches the Rfam family "Bacterial small subunit ribosomal RNA", at positions 29 to 506 of the family's 1533-position model. The record is from RNAcentral.